UAAAAUAAUUAAUAUAAAUAACUUUGAAUUAUUUAUUAGGUAGUUUCUACUAUAUUUUAA
RNAcentral lists this transfer RNA (60 nucleotides) under Chordodes sp. VVA-2019. Its description in RNAcentral is "tRNA-Gln". Lineage: Eukaryota; Metazoa; Nematomorpha; Gordioida; Chordodea; Chordodidae. The record is from RNAcentral.